This 1354-nucleotide ribosomal RNA is filed under the name Microbacterium arborescens. RNAcentral describes it as "bacterial SSU rRNA". It matches the Rfam family "Bacterial small subunit ribosomal RNA", at positions 74 to 1442 of the family's 1533-position model. Lineage: Bacteria; Bacillati; Actinomycetota; Actinomycetes; Micrococcales; Microbacteriaceae. The record is from RNAcentral.
CAGAGCUUGCUCUGUGGAUCAGUGGCGAACGGGUGAGUAACACGUGAGCAAUCUGCCCCUGACUCUGGGAUAAGCGCUGGAAACGGCGUCUAAUACCGGAUACGAGCUGCGACCGCAUGGUCAGUAGCUGGAAAGAAUUUCGGUCAGGGAUGAGCUCGCGGCCUAUCAGCUUGUUGGUGAGGUAAUGGCUCACCAAGGCGUCGACGGGUAGCCGGCCUGAGAGGGUGACCGGCCACACUGGGACUGAGACACGGCCCAGACUCCUACGGGAGGCAGCAGUGGGGAAUAUUGCACAAUGGGCGCAAGCCUGAUGCAGCAACGCCGCGUGAGGGAUGACGGCCUUCGGGUUGUAAACCUCUUUUAGCAGGGAAGAAGCGAAAGUGACGGUACCUGCAGAAAAAGCGCCGGCUAACUACGUGCCAGCAGCCGCGGUAAUACGUAGGGCGCAAGCGUUAUCCGGAAUUAUCGGGCGUAAAGAGCUCGUAGGCGGUCUGUCGCGUCUGCUGUGAAAACCCGAGGCUCAACCUCGGGCCUGCAGUGGGUACGGGCAGACUAGAGUGCGGUAGGGGAGAUUGGAAUUCCUGGUGUAGCGGUGGAAUGCGCAGAUAUCAGGAGGAACACCGAUGGCGAAGGCAGAUCUCUGGGCCGUAACUGACGCUGAGGAGCGAAAGGGUGGGGAGCAAACAGGCUUAGAUACCCUGGUAGUCCACCCCGUAAACGUUGGGAACUAGUUGUGGGGUCCAUUCCACGGAUUCCGUGACGCAGCUAACGCAUUAAGUUCCCCGCCUGGGGAGUACGGCCGCAAGGCUAAAACUCAAAGGAAUUGACGGGGACCCGCACAAGCGGCGGAGCAUGCGGAUUAAUUCGAUGCAACGCGAAGAACCUUACCAAGGCUUGACAUAUAGAGGAAACGUCUGGAAACAGUCGCCCCGCAAGGUCUCUAUACAGGUGGUGCAUGGUUGUCGUCAGCUCGUGUCGUGAGAUGUUGGGUUAAGUCCCGCAACGAGCGCAACCCUCGUUCUAUGUUGCCAGCACGUAAUGGUGGGAACUCAUGGGAUACUGCCGGGGUCAACUCGGAGGAAGGUGGGGAUGACGUCAAAUCAUCAUGCCCCUUAUGUCUUGGGCUUCACGCAUGCUACAAUGGCCGGUACAAAGGGCUGCAAUACCGUGAGGUGGAGCGAAUCCCAAAAAGCCGGUCCCAGUUCGGAUUGAGGUCUGCAACUCGACCUCAUGAAGUCGGAGUCGCUAGUAAUCGCAGAUCAGCAACGCUGCGGUGAAUACGUUCCCGGGUCUUGUACACACCGCCCGUCAAGUCAUGAAAGUCGGUAACACCUGAAGCCGGUGGCCCAACCCU